Long non-coding RNA from Balaenoptera musculus (blue whale), 1599 nucleotides. RefSeq lists it as uncharacterized. The record is from RefSeq and is a predicted model, not a curated record. The transcript has 3 exons. Lineage: Eukaryota; Metazoa; Chordata; Mammalia; Artiodactyla; Balaenopteridae.
GAUUGUUUUGUUAGUCACUAAAGAAAUGUCUAAAUAUGUCUAAAUAAGAUUGCUAAAUUAUGUAUAAGACUGGCUGUCUAAAGGCCAAUAAAUUACAUUAUCAAUAUUUUGUGGUUUACCUCUAACUUUAUUGAGCUGUAAACUACUUGCACAUUUAUCGGUUGUGGGUUGUUAAUCAAAUAUACUGUGACCACAAAGUUACACCUCCAAGAGUUUCAGGUGAGAGUCCAGCAGAAUUUUUAUAAAGUGCUCUGACAUUGUAGAACAGUAAUCAGUACUUUGUCUCUUUCUAGAUGCAGCCCCGUAGGUCACCGUGUUUUCUAUACCGAGAUGCCUUUUGGGUUCAGAGGGAUGCAGUGGUAACCCUCAUCCCCUGCACAUCUUCACUGGAGGUUUAUUUACAAUGUACAAUCCAGACACAGCAGGUGCAGCAUACUGAAAGGAUUUCCUAGCUGGCUUUAGAAUAUAUGAAUAUCAGAAGAGUGCCCUGAGGUAAAGAAGAUACCACUUUUUAAGGAAAAGAUCCAAUUUGGGAAGCAAGACCUGUGCUUUCCAUGGCCGGAUAGAUACCGGCAAUUUUUCUCUCUCUUCAGAGGACUGAAGAUAAUUUUGGUUUUCUACCCAGGGCCCUGCUUUUCAACUUCCAAAGUCCUAUGUAAAGGUAAAGUUAUUUUAAUUUCCUCCCACAGGUUCCUCCUUCUUCUGGAGCCUUUAUUAUCCCUUACUGUUCGGCUCUGAAGAGCCUACUAACGAACAGCGACUUCUAACAAAAAAGGAAAUGAAACCGAUCUACGACACAGAUUCAUGGAAACAUACUUGAUGGCUAUUUAAUCACUUGUCAAAGAUCAAUAAUGUGCAUAAUAACAAUGAAUUAUUACUCUAGUUUUCAGAGUCCAUACCCUAUUUUUCGUAUUCUACAUCCUCCUGGUUUUUAUUAUAAUUCUUAUCGAAUACUGAAGAGUAGCAGAAUAUGCCGCCUGAAAAUGGCACUCUGGCAUAAGGAUUAAUUUGAGCUGAUGGCAACUGAGAAGAGGCAGCUACAAGGAAAGCUCUCUGCGUUCCCCCAUUUGCCGAAAAGCAGGACCUAAAUUUGUAAAGGUGUCCUGUCUCCUCUCUACCAGGAAGGACCGAAGUUAGUCACCUGGGACAACUCUAAACUCUAGACCCUGAUGAGCCCAGAGAUGGCAGGCGAGGAAUCUUUACAACAGAGGUGACUAAUCACCCUUAUCUUCCAUUAUUUCCCCAUGUAUUUACCUUCCCACAAUUUGCUGCCCUGGAAACUCAAAGUCCUUUCCUUUGUCUUAUCACUUCUCUAAAAAUGUUUUGUUCUUUGUUAAGAUGCCAAGUAAGCCCAAGUUCUAACCACCCCUUUGAGUUACUCCUCACCAAGUGCUCCCUUGUAUAUGGGAGACACACAUGUUAAUAAACUUCUGUUUUUCUCUUGUGGAUCUCUCCUUGCAGGGCCCCAGCCAGAGAACUUAGGAGGGUGCGGGAGAAAGGUUUUGUUCCUUCCCCUACAAGAAUAAAGCUUGGUGUUAUAAAUAUUACACUUCUUCCUCCCCUAUAAUAUUAUAUAAAUAUUACAUUCUUUUUCCCCCU